RNAcentral lists this ribosomal RNA (491 nucleotides) under uncultured bacterium. RNAcentral describes it as "bacterial SSU rRNA". It matches the Rfam family "Bacterial small subunit ribosomal RNA", at positions 29 to 509 of the family's 1533-position model. The record is from RNAcentral.
AGUGAACGCUGGCGGCAGGCCUAAUACAUGCAAGUCGAACGGCAGCACAGCAGAGCUUGCUCUGUGGGUGGCGAGUGGCGGACGGGUGAGGAAUACAUGGGAAUCUGCCCAGUCGUGGGGGAUAACGUAUGGAAACGUACGCUAAUACCGCAUGCGCCCUAAGGGGGAAAGCCGGGGACCGCAAGGCCUGGCGCGAUUGGAUGAGCCCAUGUUCGAUUAGCUAGUUGGCGGGGUAAAGGCCCACCAAGGCGACGAUCGAUAGCUGGUCUGAGAGGAUGAUCAGCCACACUGGAACUGAGACACGGUCCAGACUCCUACGGGAGGCAGCAGUAGGGAAUAUUGGACAAUGGGGCAACCCUGAUCCAGCCAUGCCGCGUGAGUGAAGAAGGCCCUCGGGUUGUAAAGCUCUUUUGUCCGGAAAGAAAAGCAAUCGGUUAAUACCCGGUUGUCCUGACGGUACCGGAAGAAUAAGCACCGGCUAACUUCGUGCC